This 993-nucleotide long non-coding RNA is filed under the name Malus domestica (apple). RNAcentral's name for it is "long non-coding RNA (MDOM_LNC004811)". Lineage: Eukaryota; Viridiplantae; Streptophyta; Magnoliopsida; Rosales; Rosaceae. The record is from RNAcentral.
CAAGUUUGACGAUUGGAUCGUCGAAAAAUGUUUUGGAUCGUCGAAAAACGUUUUGUAGAAUGCGUAUCGCAUCAAAACGGUAGAUUAAACAAACACUUCCCCAUCAAGUAUAAAAUAAGAUCUUGUGGUAUCCACUAGUGUAUAUAUUUUAAAUUGAAGAUCGAAUUAGUUAAAUGCAUUCUUAUAAGGUUAAGGAGUGUAGCUGUAAAAAAUAUCAAAAUCGGAGCUAAAAUAACCGUUAAAUUGUGAUUUUUUGUUUAUAACCGUGGAAAACUUUUGUUUUGUUACCUAAUCUCUGAAUGUUUGUUUUUUGUGAUUUUUUAUGUAUGCGAUCUCGGAGUGUGUACAAACAAAUUUGACGAUUAGAUCAUUGAAAAAAGUUUCAUAGAAUGUGUAUCGUGUCAAAACGGUAGAUUAAAUAAAGACUUAAAGAGUUAAUGUUAUACUUCCAUUAAGUAUAAAAUAAGAUUUUGUGGUAUUCACUAGUGUAAAUAUUUUAAAUUUAAGAUCAAAUUUAUUCAUUACAUUCUUAUACGGUCGAGGAGUGUAGUUGUAAAAAAUCAUUAAAAUCGGACCUAAAAUAACCGUUAAAUUGUGAUUUUUCGUUUAUAACCGUCGAAAACUUUUGUUCCGUUACGUAAUCUCUGAAUGUUUGCUUUUUACGAUUUUUUACGUAUGCAAUUUCGGAGUGUGUACAAAUAAGUUUGACGGUUGGAUCGUUGAAAAAAGUUUCAUAGGAUACAUAUCGCGUCAAAACAGUAGAUUAAACAAAUAUUUAAAGUUAAUAUUAUACUUCCAUUAAGUAUAAAAUAAGUAGUGUAAAUAUUGAAGUAGGAAAAGUAAUUUGUGCUAAAUUUUUAUUUAUGUUUUUCAAGUAUUGAUUAGACAAUAUUUAGUUUGUGUGAUGAUAUUUUCAUUGUGCAAUUAUCUUUUUGUUUCUUUAUUGCAUAUUUUACAUGGGUUAUUAUCUAUUAAACCAAACAAUUAUUUAUU